GGGGAUAUAGCUCAGGGGUAGAGUAUGUGCUUAGUAUGCACAAGGUCCUAGGUUCAAUCCCCAGUAGCUUUG
This 72-nucleotide transfer RNA is filed under the name Camelus bactrianus (Bactrian camel). It matches the Rfam family "tRNA". Rfam says of the family: Transfer RNA (tRNA) molecules are approximately 80 nucleotides in length. RNAcentral also lists the same sequence under 2 other names. The record is from Rfam by way of RNAcentral. Lineage: Eukaryota; Metazoa; Chordata; Mammalia; Artiodactyla; Camelidae.